CAGGCACCUUUAUUCAGCCAUAUUGAAGCCCCUCCCAUCCAUUAAUACUAUGCAAGAUGGAAAAUUCUUAAAUGUUUUAAAUGAAGGCUGAAGAGAACCAGUAAAGAAAGAUUUAAAGUAUGAAGGAGCAAUAAUAUGCCCCCACCAAUGUCUUUUCCUACUAAACUCAUCAAAACAAGUCACAGAGAAACAAUGGGCAAAAUGUAUUCACUUUUUAAAAAUCUUCACUUAAUACAUGGUUUUGUUGCAGUGUUCUUUUAUAUAGGAAGUCAAAUUUGUAACUUUUAAA
This 289-nucleotide long non-coding RNA is filed under the name Homo sapiens (human). RNAcentral's name for it is "non-protein coding lnc-ALDH1A1-3:1". Lineage: Eukaryota; Metazoa; Chordata; Mammalia; Primates; Hominidae. The record is from RNAcentral.